This 1293-nucleotide long non-coding RNA is filed under the name Mus musculus (house mouse). Its description in RNAcentral is "Pvt1 oncogene". The stretch from base 24 to 180 matches the Rfam family "Pvt1 oncogene conserved region 1". Lineage: Eukaryota; Metazoa; Chordata; Mammalia; Rodentia; Muridae. The record is from RNAcentral.
ACCAGGCAGAGCGCGUGUGGCCGCCGAGCACAUGGACCCACUGGUCAAGCGGGCUCGGCAAGGCCAGGAUGAAGAGAAGCUACGAACUUAGCAUUCCCAGAGCCCCCCGAGUGGAUAUCCGCGUGGAAAGGAUGUUGGCAGCCCCGGUGACCUCGGAGUCACGGCUGGAUCCACCCUCUUAGAGCCGAGUUCUGUCACCACAGACAUUGGCAGUGGCACUUGCAUGCCCCUGGCAAGCAGUCUAUCCUGAGGUGGAGGAAGUUGCCCUUGAGUUCUGGCUGGUAACCAGCACAGGGGCUGGGACACUGCCUGAUUGAGGUGGCCAUUGAGAAUUCAAGUGUACCUCUUGGUCCCUGAUGCAGAAAUGAAGUCCCCAGCAUGCUCAAGAAGAGCUUCCUUGGAGGAUGAGAGGCAUGGGAAUCUAAGUAUACCCUUUAAGCGUUCCAGAAGGAUUUUGAGAUCCUUUCCUAAAUCAAAGGUGGAAUAUUUGGGGAUUUGGAAAAUUGAGCAUUUUUUUCCCCACUUGCUUGACUGUAAUGCUAACAUGCUCUCUCUGCUCCAACCUGGAGAAGCCAGUCUCUCAGAAGAACCAGUUGUGUUACUUUGCUGUGAGAUGCCUGCCCUAAGAGAGGAGCAGAAGGUCGGAACGGGUCCUCUAAUGUGAUAAUUAGAUGUGAAGCGUUGACUUAAGAGAUGCCAAGUAACUCAGCAGAUGUCACACAGACGAUAAAUAGCAAAGAUGGAAGUCUUCAUGCCGGAGGCAAUCCUAUAAGACAGCUGAGUUCUGCAGAGCUGGAGACAGACUUGCUCAGGUGAUAGAUCCAGCCAUGAUACUGACCCUAAGAGAAUGAGACGCUCUGCAGAAGACAGAAGAUUCCUGAAACUGGGAAAGGUGCCUAGAAAUCCUGAUAAGAGUGAAGAAGGGUACCUGGAGGCACAGCAGCCAUGUUGAACCUAUGAGGUGAUGAAAAACCAUGCAACUAGAAACCAGAAUGGAAGAAAAGAAGAAGCUGGAUCCUUGACUGAAUUGUCGAUGGGGGAUAGUCCAUCAUCCCAGGGCUAAGACCACCUCCAGAUUUCUUGUUUGGUGAAACAAGUCCUGAUUGUUUACAUUCCCUCGUGUUGAGCUGUCUCUUGCUUGUAGCUGAAAGCAUUUCUAAUAGAUAUUCAGAUUAUCAGCCUUAGCUCCAAGCUAGAAUACUCUAUGGGACCUUAGCUUCUCCAUGAAUUCCUUUGCUCAUCUGUGUAAUGCUCAAUAAAUGUAAAUUGAACCCUGAAUGAGGGACAAUGACA